UCUCAAGGAGUAGAUUAUUUUUAAGAAGUUUCUGGUACAGUUCCUCUGAGGUCCUGUGACUACCCCUCCCCCAGGAAAUAACUUUUUUAUUUAACCACUACAUUGACAUCUACAGAAGUUGACACCUGUAAGUUUUAGACAUAAAAUUGAUUCAACUUACAGUGCAACAAUUUAAAUGUAUGCAUCACUGCUAUAUUGAAAAUAUAAUAUGUCGUUAGACUUAAGACUUUCCUUUGUUUUGUCAAGUUUUUUUUUCUCAUGGUGGGUUAGUUUGCUUUGGGAACCCCAGACCUAAACCUCAGCCAUGCUUCUGGCAGCACACCCAGCACUGUCUCUCCAGGUGCUAGGAAGGCACUAAGACACACCCACCCAGUCCAGGUGGGCUAACUCACCAACUGACCCAUCAUAGCAACUUGGCUUGCCCAGCAGCAUAGCCCAUCCGGAUGACUCUACCUACUGCUCUAUAAUCACUGUGUGGUGAGAAAAAAAAAGAAACUCUGCCUUGAAACCUCCUGUUCCCCCAACUAGUUCUCAGGAGAAUGUUUGUGCUUUACUCUCUCUCUCUCUCACUCUCUCUCUCUUUCUCUCUCUCUCUGUGCCU
RNAcentral lists this long non-coding RNA (601 nucleotides) under Homo sapiens (human). RNAcentral describes it as "HSALNT0114557". Lineage: Eukaryota; Metazoa; Chordata; Mammalia; Primates; Hominidae. The record is from RNAcentral.